Rattus rattus (black rat) is the source of this 348-nucleotide non-coding RNA. NCBI's taxonomy places the organism in Eukaryota, Metazoa, Chordata, Mammalia, Rodentia, Muridae. The record is from the annotation of a RefSeq genome assembly.
AUGGGCUCCACGACCUUCUUUGUGGUCUUGAGCCUUCUCUAUGCAAAACCCAUGGAGGCUGCAGUCACCCAAAGCCCAAGAAACAAGGUGACAGUUAGAGGAAAAAAUGUGACAUUCAACUGUCACCAGACUGAUAAGCAUAACUACAUGUACUGGUAUCGGCAGGACAUGGGGCAUGGUCUGAGGCUGAUCCAUUACUCAUAUGGUUCUGGCAGCAUUGAAAAUGGAGAUAUCCCUGAUGGGUACAAGGUCUCCAGACCAAACCAAGAAAAUUUCUUCCUCACGCUGGAGUCGGCUUCCCCCUCUCAGACAUCUGUGUACUUCUGUGCCAGCAGUGAUGCACAGUAG